AAAACAUUUUUACACAUUGCAAAGUAGUUUCAUAUGUUAAUUUUUAUUUGGUCAAUCAAUUGUUUAAAUUUUUACCAGAUAAAGUUUGUUAUUUUUUUUUUAAAUAAAUACUCUCCUAGGUAGAAACUGCAGAAAUAUUGGUUAGCAUGUCUAAAAGAAACACAGAAAGUUAUCGACCAAAGAGGCCAAUCAGUGCUUACAUCUAUUUCGUUAAAGAGGAGUUCCGAAAGCAAAAAGGUGUCGACGUAGCGACAAUGGGAAGACGAUGUGCUGAAAAAUGGAGUUCAAUGAAUGAGAGCGAAAAACAAAAAUAUGUUGACAAGGCUAGUGCAGAUUUGAGACGUUACAAUCUUGAAAAGAAACACAUCGCUCCAAAAAAGAAGCAAGGACGCAAGUAAAAAUGCAUACUUGAUUUUUUAUUUGUCACAAUUUUCAAAAGUGAAGAGUGAAAAUCCAACAUUUAAAUUAACCGAAAUCGCCAAAGAAGUUUCAAAAAUGUGGAAGGCUCUGGAGCCAACGGAAAAAGAGAGAUACAAGCGGAUGGCGGAAUUGGAAAACAGUAAAAAUCAAAAGAAAGCCCCAACGAUGAAAGUGAACCAGGCAAAGAACAAACAAAGGCACCACCACCAGCUCAGUCUUAACAGUGCCACUUUUCCUUUAGAAGACAUGAAUGAAACAUACGAAGACGUCGAUUUGAUGGAUGAGCUAGAUGAAAUGAUCUAGAGCGCAGAGUGAAAAUGAGUGUUUUUUAUUUUUAUAAUUUUAUAAAAAAUUGUUGUACCAAAUUAAAUGAAUUUUAACAUA
Molecule: RNA transcript, 804 nt
Organism: Cimex lectularius (bed bug)
Lineage: Eukaryota; Metazoa; Arthropoda; Insecta; Hemiptera; Cimicidae
Gene name: high mobility group protein B4-like
Exons: 4
Source: RefSeq, a predicted model, not a curated record